Molecule: ribosomal RNA, 727 nt
Filed under: Streptomyces sp.
Lineage: Bacteria; Bacillati; Actinomycetota; Actinomycetes; Kitasatosporales; Streptomycetaceae
Description: bacterial SSU rRNA
Rfam family: Bacterial small subunit ribosomal RNA
Source: RNAcentral
UCUGGGACAAGCCCUGGAAACGGGGUCUAAUACCGGAUAAUACUGUUCCCCUCAUGGGGGGUGGUUGAAAGCUCCGGCGGUGCAGGAUGAGCCCGCGGCCUAUCAGCUUGUUGGUGGGGUAAUGGCCUACCAAGGCGACGACGGGUAGCCGGCCUGAGAGGGCGACCGGCCACACUGGGACUGAGACACGGCCCAGACUCCUACGGGAGGCAGCAGUGGGGAAUAUUGCACAAUGGGCGGAAGCCUGAUGCAGCGACGCCGCGUGAGGGAUGACGGCCUUCGGGUUGUAAACCUCUUUCAGCAGGGAAGAAGCGAAAGUGACGGUACCUGCAGAAGAAGCGCCGGCUAACUACGUGCCAGCAGCCGCGGUAAUACGUAGGGCGCAAGCGUUGUCCGGAAUUAUUGGGCGUAAAGAGCUCGUAGGCGGUCUGUCACGUCGGGUGUGAAAGCCCGGGGCUUAACCCCGGGUCUGCAUUCGAUACGGGCAGACUAGAGUGUGGUAGGGGAGAUCGGAAUUCCUGGUGUAGCGGUGAAAUGCGCAGAUAUCAGGAGGAACACCGGUGGCGAAGGCGGAUCUCUGGGCCAUUACUGACGCUGAGGAGCGAAAGCGUGGGGAGCGAACAGGAUUAGAUACCCUGGUAGUCCACGCCGUAAACGUUGGGAACUAGGUGUUGGCGACAUUCCACGUCGUCGGUGCCGCAGCUAACGCAUUAAGUUCCCCGCCUGG